UGCCAAAACAUCAAGUCUCUAAGUAAUAAUUUUAAUUGAAUUACAAAAAAAAAAAAAAAAAUAUUAGUAUCCCGUUUUUUCAAGUAUUAUGUCAACCACUUGGAAAAUCAGAAAAAAAAUUUCCUUUCAAAAGUUGUGCUACACUUGAUACAUCGAAUCAAGAUUUCUGGUAGAAAAGUUGUUCACAAAAUAAAAAGAACAUAAGAAAAAAAUGUUAACAUCAUUGUAAAACCAAUGCAUUCCUCGUCACCCUCCAAAUCUAAAAUGAGAAAGACGGACAUGCUUGGCACGUAGGCCACUAUUGUAGGUGAUAAGUCUGGAAGGCAAGGGGAAAUUUUAUGUAUCUGUGUGUAACAGUUAACCAUUGCUAAAGAAAAACGAUUCUGAACGGGGUUC
Cinara cedri is the source of this 396-nucleotide non-coding RNA. NCBI's taxonomy places the organism in Eukaryota, Metazoa, Arthropoda, Insecta, Hemiptera, Aphididae. The record is from the annotation of a GenBank genome assembly.